RNAcentral lists this unclassified non-coding RNA (331 nucleotides) under soil metagenome. RNAcentral's name for it is "partial contains 5.8S ribosomal RNA, internal transcribed spacer 2, and large subunit ribosomal RNA". The stretch from base 1 to 120 matches the Rfam family "5.8S ribosomal RNA", at positions 35 to 154 of the family's 154-position model. The record is from RNAcentral.
GAUGAAGAACGCAGCGAAAUGCGAUAAGUAAUGUGAAUUGCAGAAUUCAGUGAAUCAUCGAAUAUUUGAACGCACAUUGCGACCCCUGGUAUUCCGGGGGGCAUGCCUGUUCGAGCGUCAUUUCACCACUCAAGCCUCGCUUGGUAUUGGGCAACGCGGUCCGCCGCGUGCCUCAAAUCGUCCGGCUGGGUCUUCUGUCCCCUAAGCGUUGUGGAAACUAUUCGCUAAAGGGUGUUCGGGAGGCUACGCCGUAAAACAACCCCAUUUCUAAGGUUGACCUCGGAUCAGGUAGGGAUACCCGCUGAACUUAAGCAUAUCAAUAAGCGGAGGA